UGGGGAAUUUUGGACAAUGGGCGAAAGCCUGAUCCAGCAAUGCCGCGUGUGUGAAGAAGGCCUUCGGGUUGUAAAGCACUUUUGUCCGGAAAGAAAUCCUUGGCUCUAAUACAGUCGGGGGAUGACGGUACCGGAAGAAUAAGCACCGGCUAACUACGUGCCAGCAGCCGCGGUAAUACGUAGGGUGCAAGCGUUAAUCGGAAUUACUGGGCGUAAAGCGUGCGCAGGCGGUUUGCUAAGACCGAUGUGAAAUCCCCGGGCUCAACCUGGGAACUGCAUGGUGACUGGCAGGCUAGAGUAUGGCAGAGGGGGUAGAAUUCCACGUGUGAGCAGUGAAAUGCGUAGAGAUGUGGAGGAAUACCGAUGGCGAAGGCAGCCCCU
This 381-nucleotide ribosomal RNA is filed under the name uncultured bacterium. Its description in RNAcentral is "partial 16S ribosomal RNA". It matches the Rfam family "Bacterial small subunit ribosomal RNA", at positions 355 to 730 of the family's 1533-position model. The record is from RNAcentral.